CACCGGCGGCUCGAGUGGUAACCGUUAUUAUUGGGUCUAAAGGGUCUUUAGCCGGCCGGAUAAGUCUCUUGAGAAAUCUGGCAGCUUAACUGUCAGGCUUUCAGGAGAUACUGUCUGGCUCGAGGCCGGGAGAGGUGAGAGGUACUUCAGGGGUAGGGGUGAAAUCUUGUAAUCCUUGAAGGACCACCAGUGGCGAAGGCGUCUCACCAGAACGGACCUGACGGCAAGGGACGAAAGCUAGGGGCACGAACCGG
RNAcentral lists this ribosomal RNA (254 nucleotides) under uncultured archaeon. RNAcentral's name for it is "partial 16S ribosomal RNA". It matches the Rfam family "Archaeal small subunit ribosomal RNA", at positions 474 to 727 of the family's 1478-position model. The record is from RNAcentral.